UGCUAUGCUAGCAAAAUAGUUUUUGCAAUGUUUUAAAACAAAGCUAAUGUACGAAUCCCUUGGUUGUUUCAAUCCUUCAGUCUGUCAAACGAACAUGAAAGGAGGAAAAUAAUCCAUAAUGUGGAGCUGAAGCUUGGUCGGCAGGGGUGCAACUUUUACAUGGCUCAAAAGCGGGAUCUUUAUGCCUACAGCAGCUACAAGCAGUCUGUCUAGAAUCACCUGAACAAAAACACCUUGGAGGAAGCUGCUUGGUCAUCCCUUCCCUGUAUUUGGAGAAAAAGGCUUCAUAAAUGGCAUGUUUGCUUGGACCCCUCUGGCAGUUGAGGGCAGCAUGUCAGCUUAUCAGCUUUUUGGGAACAUAGUUAAAGAGAGAAGAUGUUCUGUCUCCGAGGCCAUCCGUGAUUGCUCUUUGGUGGGUGCGAGACAGAUGCUGCUCAGUCACUGCCCGAUUUUCUUACUGCCCUGGAAUUCCCCUGAGCUGAAAUGCUGCAUGUUUUCCUGCUACGCUGUGCACUGGGAAGCUCAUCAACUGGGCAGACUACCAAACUGGCA
RNAcentral lists this long non-coding RNA (552 nucleotides) under Calidris pugnax (ruff). RNAcentral describes it as "lncRNA (ENSCPUG00000018018.1)". The record is from RNAcentral. Lineage: Eukaryota; Metazoa; Chordata; Aves; Charadriiformes; Scolopacidae.